CCACACUUGGCCACAAGUCUCAGGAGAAGCCUGAGCCUAGGAAAAGGUGUAAACCCACCAACUCACCAGGAGCCAGAAACAGCUAUUAAAAGACUCCUUAUAAUGAAGAAUUGAGGUAAAGCAGCAUAUGUUUAACAUCUUUAAGAGCAACAAAAUCAUUGGUUCCUUCAUAUCAUCAAAGAUCCUUUCCUAAAACACAUCAAAUCAGAAAUCUGUGAAGAACAUCUUGGGGUCAGAACUGGCAAAAUACAAGGGAGAAGUUGGAUCUGAAGGUGAAGAUGCUAAGGAAGGUCAGGUAAAGAUCACAAAGAAAAACUGUAAAGAAGAUUUUCAGAACCAAGAACAGUUGGCUUAUUCUGAGUUUAAAACACUGCGUGAAAUCUAAGAACAGACUAGAAGAAUGAUACAAACAUACAGUUGAUAUUUAUAAACAGAAAGGGUGAAGGAGUUGUUAUAAAAAAUCUUUUUAUCGUUCUUCAGAACUGUGAAUCUGAUGCCACAGUAAGUUCCCUACUUACACAGGAAAGGACAGAUUUAACCUCUUCUUGCUUUUAGCCUUCUCUGAAAAGCUUCAAAAAGACUCUCUGCAGAACCACAUCCUUCCAACACUUAAGAAUAUGAUCCCAAACCUAUUAAAGGCAUUUAGCUUAAAAAAUUAUUUAAUUAAAUUGUUUCCAGAACUUCCA
Myiozetetes cayanensis is the source of this 686-nucleotide long non-coding RNA. RefSeq lists it as uncharacterized. Lineage: Eukaryota; Metazoa; Chordata; Aves; Passeriformes; Tyrannidae. The transcript is spliced from 3 exons. The record is from RefSeq and is a predicted model, not a curated record.